GCCUGGGUAGCUCAGACGGUAGAGCAUCAGACUUUUAUUCUGAGGGUCCAGGGUUCAAGUCCCUGUUCAGGUGGUUCCA
Molecule: transfer RNA, 79 nt
Filed under: Merluccius polli (Benguela hake)
Lineage: Eukaryota; Metazoa; Chordata; Actinopteri; Gadiformes; Merlucciidae
Description: tRNA-Lys
Rfam family: tRNA
About the family: Transfer RNA (tRNA) molecules are approximately 80 nucleotides in length. Their secondary structure includes four short double-helical elements and three loops (D, anti-codon, and T loops).
Source: RNAcentral